GAUGAAGAACGUAGCGAAAUGCGAUAAGUGAUGCGAAACGCAACUUUUGUGAGUCAUCGAAUCUUUGAACGCAGAUUGCGCCCUUUGGUAUUCCGAGGGGCAUGCCUGUUCGAGGGUCACUACAACCUCUCAAGUUCGGCUUGAUGUUGGACCUAGAAGGUCAGUGAUGCGCUGGCCUGGUCUUAAAGAUAGCGACGGCGUCCGCGAGGCUCUGGAUACAAUGAGCUUUUGAAGCAUGUAUCGUGGCAGACUCGGGGGCUAGUCACUGCACCUAAAUCGAAAGGGUUGACCUCGGAUCAGGCAGGAAUACCCGCUGAAUUUAAGCAUAUCAAUAAGCGGAAGGA
This 344-nucleotide unclassified non-coding RNA is filed under the name soil metagenome. Its description in RNAcentral is "partial contains 5.8S ribosomal RNA, internal transcribed spacer 2, and large subunit ribosomal RNA". The stretch from base 1 to 119 matches the Rfam family "5.8S ribosomal RNA", at positions 35 to 154 of the family's 154-position model. The record is from RNAcentral.